Molecule: long non-coding RNA, 661 nt
Organism: Cucumis melo (muskmelon)
Lineage: Eukaryota; Viridiplantae; Streptophyta; Magnoliopsida; Cucurbitales; Cucurbitaceae
Exons: 3
Source: RefSeq, a predicted model, not a curated record
CAAAAGGCUCCAAAAACCCUAAUCUCAAUCCUCUCCAUCUCCACCCUCUACCGACUGGCCACACUUCUCAUCGACAACAAACCACGAAGCCCCGAAAGAAAGCACAUCUCGAUCACACUACUUGGUUUCUCAUCGAUGUCGACCCAUGACAUUUUGGCUGGCCCCUACUCGAUUUCUCAAUUAGACAGCGACCCACGGAGCUGACGACCCACAAAGCUGAUGUAUAUAUGAUGAAGGCUCUAAUCUGUUCCGUCUCAUUCCAUCAGUUACUACUAGAUGCCGCUAGCAGUGGCGGAGGAGGAAAACAUAAGAGACUGUUAAACUCUUAACACGUUGCUCAGUCAAAAAGUUAUCAAUGGUGGCUAGUAGUGAAGAUGGGUCGACGGUAGAACAAGAUGUAAUAGAACUAAAGCACCACAGUCCCGUCUAUGUCCUCGAUGGCUCGUUAUAUAGAGAUGAUGAAGCAUCUCUAUGAAAAAAAAAUUACGAUUUCACUUCUUGGUAAACUCUUGUUAUUCAACCAUUUGUGGCAGCUGCUUUGUCAAAAGUUAUUAGUCCAAUUAAACUGACUUAGUAAUUUUAUUUGUCUGAUUUUACUCUAUGAUAGUUCAAGGAAUGAUAAUCCAUUUGUCUAAACCUUCAAAUUUUUCAAGGAUAUAAA